CAAACUUAACAGAGCCACAAACCGCAACCAAGUCAGGGGGUCAAGGCGGCAGACCACCCUUUGAUGGGUCUAAAAACAACCUAUUUUCUCUGAAUCUAAACAAUGAUGAAAGGAAAAAGCACAUAACAGUUGAGAAAUAGCUAGAUCCUGCGACGAUGGAGGACCACGGAGAACCUCUAGUUGUAUGUACGACCCCAUUAGGUGGGGUUUGAAGGUGGUGCCAUCGGGAAGGACAUGACACGAUCG
Molecule: long non-coding RNA, 246 nt
Filed under: Medicago truncatula (barrel medic)
Lineage: Eukaryota; Viridiplantae; Streptophyta; Magnoliopsida; Fabales; Fabaceae
Description: long non-coding RNA (MTRU_LNC001363)
Source: RNAcentral